This is a long non-coding RNA of Helianthus annuus (common sunflower), 2747 nucleotides long. RefSeq lists it as uncharacterized. The transcript is spliced from 4 exons. The record is from RefSeq and is a predicted model, not a curated record. Lineage: Eukaryota; Viridiplantae; Streptophyta; Magnoliopsida; Asterales; Asteraceae.
CACUAACUGUCUCUGUUUUCAUGCUAUAAUGAUUAGUUGUAAUCCUAAAAAAGGUGAUAUUUUUUAGUUAGUUUGCAGGACAACUGUUGAGGUGUUUACGCCAUUCACUUUGUUGUGACAUGUGAAUCCGUUUGUAUGCGGCCAUUUCAGAUAAGUUCUCUUUUUUCAGAUGUUACUCUUGCAAGAAGACAGUUGGGUAUUAAUAUGUAAUUUAGGGAUAUGGCUCUCUUGAAUAUAAGGUUAAUUUCGUGUUUUUUCUUUAACCGAAGUGUAUCAGUGUUCCUCAGGUGACUGCAUUUAUAUGACUUUGAUGAUUUUCGAACCAUGAUGCUAUGUUUCAGUAAAGAAGAAACUAAGAUUUUUGAGUCUAUUGAAACGCGGAACUUAUGCACAAAGUUACAUUGAAGAUAUCCUUAAAGCACUUCACAAGGAACUUACCUAUAGACUUCGAGUUAGUUUGCAGGACAACUGUUGAGGUGUUUACGCCAUUCACUUUGUUGUGACAUGUGAAUCCGUUUGUAUGCGGCCGUUUCAGAUAAGUUCUCUUUUUUCAUAUGUUACUCUUGCAAGAAGACAGUUGGGUAUUAAUAUGUAAUUUAGGGAUAUGGCUUUCUUGAAUAUAAGGUUAAUUUCGUGUUUUUUCUUUAACCGAAGUGUAUCAGUGUUCCUCAGGUGACUGCAUUUAUAUGACUUUGAUGAUUUUCGAACCAUGAUGCUAUGUUUUAGUAAAGAAGAAACUAAGAUUUUUGAGUCUAUUGGCAAGGCAUUUUAGGUUCCUAUGUUCAUGUAUUUUCUAUGACAUGGUAACCUUUUAGUAUUCAGCCAUGGUAGAAUUUUUUUUCUUUAAAUGUUUACAUGUAUGAGCCUAUGCAGCUGCCAUUAUGUCGUUAUGUUUUUAGGAGUCUGAAUUUCGGUUAUCGGUCGAAAAGAUGAAGUAGCUGCAAGUAGGGGUGUUCAUUAUUCGGUUAGAAAGGAAUAAACCGAAAAACCAAACUGGACUAGAACCAAAAAAACGAACUGAAAUUUAAUUUUGUUGUUCGGUUCAUAACUGUAACUGAAUUGGUUAUUCAGUUAUCCGGUUCGGUUAUCAUCUAUCCAUAUACAAAGAUCCAGUUGCAAGCAGGGGUGUUCGUUAUUCGGUUAGAAACGAAUAAACCAAAAACCGAACUAGACUAACACCAUUUUGUUGGGUAUGAAUCAGAUGCCAUUUUGUUGUUGUCUAUGUGCUUGUGAUAAUGCCUCUAUUUUGAUUGUAACUUAUGCUUGAAAGACUGUAUAAAGGAUAUGGAUAUUAUAAAUAGAUGUAGGUUUUUUUGUUGGGCAUGAAUCAAAUGCCAUUGUUUUUUGAUGAAUUUUAAACUUUGGUUCUAUUGAAGGAUGGGGAACAAAUGAUGGUUUGAUAGUUGAGUUUUUUUUCUCAUAGAAACGCGGAACGGCGAAUGCUUAUUCGACAAACUUAUGCACAAAGUUACAUUGAAGAUAUCCUUAAAGCACUUCACAAGGAACUUACCUAUAGACUUCGAGCGUUGGCUUUUACUAAAUGGACCUGCACAACUAAUGUUGGAAGUACAAAAUGAGUUUGAUUUUUUUGUUCUUUAAAAGUUGCAUACAAUAGUUUUUUGCUAUAUAAUCAUUAACUAUCAAAUUGAAUGCUUAUUUUGUUUUGGAUGUUUUUUUACUGUUAGAAAGAUUUAUUUUGCUUAUAUUAUUCAUAAUUUUGUGAAUAUAUGGAAGAUUCAUUUGUUAAUUAAAAUAUCUUCAUGAUUUCAAUUUAAUAGAGGUGGCAAGAUGAGCGGGUUAGGUAGCAAGUUAAAAAUAUUUGAAAUGAAAUAAAUCAUAUUUAAUUGCGAGUCACAUAUAAUUUAGUCUUUAGAGAUUUAGUUGCCUAAUAAUUUAGUCUUUUAGAGUUAUAGUUGCCUAAUUUUAUUUGCUUUAUAGGUCAUAUGUUAUAUUGUACUUUCAUUUGAGGUAGGGAAGCGAAAGUGUAUGAUGAAGUAAUUGUGGAAGCUUGGUGAUGGGAUCUAAUGCCUCUUGACAUUUGCUUCUUAAAACCUGUUGGUAAUGGUAAUGGUAAUUUAACUUUGGAUCAACAAUGUGAAGUAAUAAUGAAAGCUAUUUUUGACCUCUUACAAACCUUUACGGAUUUCAUUUUGGAUGAACAUCAAGUGGAAGUACAUUUUCAUUUCUUUACAAACCGAAAGAUAGUAUGGUUGAUGCUCCUUAAUAGCCUUUAUUCAUGAAAUUAUAAAUAUAUUUAAAUUAUACACUUUAGUCUUCCUCAUAAGAGUACAGUAGCUAUUAUAGUUGCUUUUAAAUUGUGCCAUGUAGCUUUUAAUUUUACAGCUCAACUUUCAUCUUAAUAAAUAUAUAUCUGGUACACACGUAGAGAGAGAACAUAGCCACCACCGCUCAGCAAAUGACGAAAAGAAGAAUCGCUGAUGCACUCCCUCUAGCCAGUAAGACACUACUCGGUUGCCGAAUCUUUCUUCCAUGUGGAUUUCCUUCGUUUGUUUGACGCCGAUGGUCUAUGUUGAUGAAGCCGUUGUCAAUUUCGAUGCUUUUGGUAUAUAUAAAGUUGUUUAUAAAGAGAUCUUCAAUAAGUUGUGAUUUUUUUGUCCUAUUCAUGUAUUUCAAUUAUUUCAUGUACUCUCUAACAUUUUCGUUAAUAUUUCAACGUAUAUAAAAUUAUAAUUUUUACUUCACAAUUUUAAAGGGCUUAAUUUUCCUGUUUAGCCACCCGUGUAACA